CUAAGGCUCCAGAGGAAGCCACGGCUAACUCUGUGCCAGCAGCCGCGGUAAUACAGAGGCGGCAAGCGUUGUUCGGAAUUAUUGGGCGUAAAGAGCACGUAGGCGGCCUUGCAAGUCAGUUGUGAAAGCCUUCCGCUUAACGGAAGAAUGCCAGCUGAUACUACAGGGCUUGAGUACGGGAGGGGAGAGUGGAACUUCUGGUGGAGCGGUGAAAUGCGUAGAUAUCAGUAGGAACGCCGGCGGCGAAAGCGACUCUCUGGCCCGAAACUGACGCUGAGUGUGCGAAAGCUAGGGGAGCAAACGGGAUUAGAUACCCCGGUAGUCCUAGCCGUAAA
Molecule: ribosomal RNA, 335 nt
Filed under: uncultured Planctomycetales bacterium
Lineage: Bacteria; Pseudomonadati; Planctomycetota; Planctomycetia; Planctomycetales
Description: bacterial SSU rRNA
Rfam family: Bacterial small subunit ribosomal RNA
Source: RNAcentral